GGUGUAGCUCAGUGGUAUAGCACUUGCUUACCAUGCAUGAGGCCCUGAGUUUGAUUCCCAGCACC
This 65-nucleotide transfer RNA is filed under the name Heterocephalus glaber (naked mole-rat). It matches the Rfam family "tRNA". From Rfam's summary of the family: Transfer RNA (tRNA) molecules are approximately 80 nucleotides in length. Their secondary structure includes four short double-helical elements and three loops (D, anti-codon, and T loops). Further hydrogen bonds mediate the characteristic L-shaped molecular structure. tRNAs have two regions of fundamental functional importance: the anti-codon, which is responsible for specific mRNA codon recognition, and the 3' end, to which the tRNAs corresponding amino acid is attached (by aminoacyl-tRNA synthetases). tRNAs cope with the degeneracy of the genetic code in two manners: having more than one tRNA (with a specific anti-codon) for a particular amino acid; and 'wobble' base-pairing, i.e. permitting non-standard base-pairing at the 3rd anti-codon position. Lineage: Eukaryota; Metazoa; Chordata; Mammalia; Rodentia; Bathyergidae. The record is from Rfam by way of RNAcentral.